GAUGAACGCUGGCGGCGUGCCUAACACAUGCAAGUCGAACGGAAAGACGGGAAGCUCUCGCUCUUGACGUUGGCGGGGGGCGGGCGGGUAACGCGUGGAUCGGCAUCUUCUUUUUCGGGGAUGACUACGUAAGGCAGCUUACGAUACUACCGCAUACGUCCUACGGGUGGAUUCAGGAGAGCUUCGCGGUUUGGGCGUCACUUUGAGCCGAUGCCGGAUUAGCUAGUUUGUGGGGUAAAGGCCUACCAAGGCGACGAUCCGUAGCUGACCUGAGAGGGGGAUCGGCCACACUGGAACUGAGACACGGUCCAGACUCCUACGGGAGGCAGCAGUGGGGAAUAUUGGACAAUGGGCGCAAGCCUGAUGCAGCCAUACCGCGUGGGUGAAGAAGGCCUUCGGGUUGUAAAGCCCUUUUGUUGGGAAAGAACAGCUGUAGGUUAAUACCCCGCUGUUUUGACGGUACCUAAAGAAUAAGCACCGGCUAACUACGUG
This 492-nucleotide ribosomal RNA is filed under the name uncultured bacterium. RNAcentral's name for it is "partial 16S ribosomal RNA". It matches the Rfam family "Bacterial small subunit ribosomal RNA", at positions 28 to 507 of the family's 1533-position model. The record is from RNAcentral.